This 625-nucleotide ribosomal RNA is filed under the name uncultured bacterium. RNAcentral describes it as "bacterial SSU rRNA". It matches the Rfam family "Bacterial small subunit ribosomal RNA", at positions 245 to 859 of the family's 1533-position model. The record is from RNAcentral.
CUUGUUGGCGGGGUAACAGCCCACCAAGGCGACGAUGGGUAGCCGGCCUGAGAGGGUGUCCGGCCACACUGGGAUUGAGAUACGGCCCAGACUCCUUCGGGAGGCAGCAGUCGAGAAUCUUCCCCAAUGGGCGAAAGCCUGAGGGAGCGACGCCGCGUGAGGGAUGAAGGCCCUUUGGGUUGUAAACCUCUGUUAGGGGGAAAGAACAGCAGUGGGAGCAAUAUGUCCAUUGCCUGACGUUACCCCCAGAGAAAGCUCCGGCCAACUCCGUGCCAGCAGCCGCGGUAAUACGGGGGGAGCAAGCGUUGUCCGGAAUCAUUGGGCGUAAAGGGCGUGUAGGCGGUUUGGCAAGUCGAAUGUGAAAUCCCACGGCUCAACCGUGGAACUGCGUUCGAAACUGCCUUACUUGAGUGCGGGAGAGGUGUGCGGAAUUCCUGGUGUAGCGGUGGAAUGCGUAGAUAUCAGGAAGAACACCGGUGGCGAAGGCGGCACACUGGCCCAGCACUGACGCUGAGGCGCGAAAGCGUGGGGAGCGAACGGGAUUAGAUACCCCGGUAGUCCACGCUGUAAACUUUGGGCACUAGGUAUUGGAGGUCUCAACCCCUUCAGUGCCGUAGCUAACGCG